UAGAACAACUCUCAGCAACGGAUAUCUUGGCUCUUGCAACGAUGAAGAACGCAGCGAANUGCGAUACGUAGUGUGAAUUGCAGAANUNCGCGAAUCAUCGAGUUUUUGAACGCAAGUUGCGCCCGAGGCUUGUCCGAGGGCAUUUCCGCUAGAGCGUCACC
Molecule: ribosomal RNA, 161 nt
Filed under: Bryum argenteum
Lineage: Eukaryota; Viridiplantae; Streptophyta; Bryopsida; Bryales; Bryaceae
Description: 5.8S ribosomal RNA
Rfam family: 5.8S ribosomal RNA
About the family: 5.8S ribosomal RNA (5.8S rRNA) is a component of the large subunit of the eukaryotic ribosome. It is transcribed by RNA polymerase I as part of the 45S precursor that also contains 18S and 28S rRNA.
Source: RNAcentral